UUCCAGACUCCUACGGGAGGCAGCAGUGGGGGAUAUUGCACAAUGGAGGAAACUCUGAUGCAGCGACGCCGCGUGAGGGAAGACGGUCUUCGGAUUGUAAACCUCUGUCUUUGGGGAAGAAAAUGACGGUACCUGACUAAGAAGCCCCGGCUAACUACGUGCCAGCAGCCGCGGUAAUACGGAGGAUGCGAGCGUUAUCCGGAUUUAUUGGGUUUAAAGGGUGCGCAGGCGGAAGAUCAAGUCAGCGGUAAAAUUGAGAGGCUCAACCUCUUCGAGCCGUUGAAACUGGUUUUCCUGAGUGAGCGAGAAGUAUGCGGAAUGCGUGGUGUAGCGGUGAAAUGCAUAGAUAUCACGCAGAACUCCGAUUGCGAAGGCAGCAUACCGGCGCUCAACUGACGCUCAUGCACGAAAGUGUGGGUAUCGAACAGGAUUAGAUACCCCGGUA
This 445-nucleotide ribosomal RNA is filed under the name uncultured bacterium. RNAcentral's name for it is "bacterial SSU rRNA". It matches the Rfam family "Bacterial small subunit ribosomal RNA", at positions 329 to 792 of the family's 1533-position model. The record is from RNAcentral.